This 253-nucleotide ribosomal RNA is filed under the name uncultured bacterium. RNAcentral describes it as "partial 16S ribosomal RNA". It matches the Rfam family "Bacterial small subunit ribosomal RNA", at positions 524 to 776 of the family's 1533-position model. The record is from RNAcentral.
UACGAAGGACCCGAGCGUUAUCCGGAUUUAUUGGGUUUAAAGGGUGCGUAGGUGGUCUAUUAAGUCAGUGCUGAAAUAUCCCGGCUUAACCGGGAGGGUGGCAUUGAUACUGAUGGACUUGAGUGGAGUUGAGGUAGGCGGAAUUGACGGUGUAGCGGUGAAAUGCUUAGAUAUCGUCAAGAACACCAAUAGCGAAGGCAGCUUACUAAGCUCUAACUGACACUGAUGCACGAAAGUGUGGGGAUCAAACAGG